RNAcentral lists this ribosomal RNA (305 nucleotides) under uncultured bacterium. Its description in RNAcentral is "bacterial SSU rRNA". It matches the Rfam family "Bacterial small subunit ribosomal RNA", at positions 337 to 640 of the family's 1533-position model. The record is from RNAcentral.
UCCUACGGGAGGCAGCAGUGAGGAAUAUUGGUCAAUGGGCGGGAGCCUGAACCAGCCAAGCCGCGUGAGGGAAGAAGGUACAGCGUAUCGUAAACCUCUUUUGUCAGGGAACAAAGGCGGGGACUAGUCCCCGGAUGAGGGUACCUGAAGAAAAAGCAUCGGCUAACUCCGUGCCAGCAGCCGCGGUAAUACGGAGGAUGCGAGCGUUAUCCGGAUUUAUUGGGUUUAAAGGGUGCGCAGGCGGCACGGCAAGCCGGCGGUCAAAUCGCGGGGCUCAACCCCGCCCCGCCGUCGGAACUGCCGGG